AACAAAAACAUUUCUUUUUGAUUUUUAUAUAAAGUAUAACCUGCCCACUGAAUUAUUUAAAUGGCCGCAGUAUUUUGACUGUGCAAAGGUAGCAUAAUAAUUAGUUUUUUAAUUAAAAGCUUGUAUGAAUGGUUGGACGAGGUAAAUACUGUCUUUAAGUAAUUUAUAAUAGAAUUUAAUUUUUAAGUUAAAAAGCUUAAAUAAUUUUAAAAGACGAGAAGACCCUAUAGAUCUUUAUUAUUAUUAUUAUUAAAAUUAUUUAGAUAAUUAAGAUUUUUAUAAUAAUAAUAAUUUUAUUGGGGUAAUAUAAAGAUUUGAUAAAUUCUUUAUUUUUUAAUACAUAAAUUUAUGAUUUUUUUGAUCCAGUUUUAUUGAUUAUAAGAUUAAGUUACCUUAGGGAUAACAGCGUAAUUUUUUUAAAGAGUUCAUAUCGAUAAAAAAGAUUGCGACCUCGAUGUUG
This 460-nucleotide ribosomal RNA is filed under the name Dineutus sinuosipennis. RNAcentral describes it as "partial 16S ribosomal RNA". Lineage: Eukaryota; Metazoa; Arthropoda; Insecta; Coleoptera; Gyrinidae. The record is from RNAcentral.